Long non-coding RNA from Micropterus dolomieu (smallmouth bass), 764 nucleotides. RefSeq lists it as uncharacterized. The transcript has 3 exons. The record is from RefSeq and is a predicted model, not a curated record. NCBI's taxonomy places the organism in Eukaryota, Metazoa, Chordata, Actinopteri, Centrarchiformes, Centrarchidae.
GCAGGUUUUGUGCUUUGUCUUGGGAGAUGCAUCAUGUGUAUUGGGUUUUCAGGGAGCCUUAGUGCUUGAUUGGGAUAAGGUUUUUAUGUGGUGAUCCAAUGGCCUUCCGACUAAUAAACAAACCAUGGCAGGACUCAAGGGAUGACAUCAAGGGAAGUUAAGUGACCAUUGUAACACUGACCUGAACCCUACAGGUCUGGUAACCCCAUCAGGAGUCAGAGAUGAUGUCAGUAAAGCCUGUGGGCCUUCUGUUCAGAGGCCAGUCUGACUCUGAACCUGACCUGUUACUGACUUUAAGCUUACCAAACUCUGAAAGCCAACUCGGGUCCAGCAUAGCCAGCCAAGUGGGUGUGCGAGAUGUAAAUGUGAUCUGCCUUUUGAGAGAGACAACCAACUCAGGAAUAUCCAUGGCCUAAGAAGAGCAAGCUCUUGAGAGCCCCACAGGAGGAAACAGCUGACCGAACUGCAUGUGGGACCAAAAGCAUCCAAACCUGCAGUAGGGGCCCACACAGAAGAAUUGUCACCUCCCUCUUCCCUUCCAGUGCAACUUCACUGGCAAUUUGAACCACCAGGUGAAACAAAAUACUUUUCCUGUGAUAUCAGGGAUGAUGCUAGAUCCGAUUACUAAAGAUGAUUUAGCGUUAGCGAAGAAUCUCCCUUAGCAACAUCGAAUCAUAAUUAUUAUCCUCAUGCUUCCCAAAUAACCUCUCAGCUGCUAAAUGAUGCAUAAAGGCGAUAUCAAUGGUCAAUGCCACAAUUAUCCA